UCUCCGGUGUAAGGAUAUGUAUACACAUGCACGUAUAUUUAUACAGCUUUUCAAAGUGCUGCUUUUUAAAAGGACGUUGUAAAAGUUUUAUCCAUUUCUAGGAAUAGCCAGCAUGGCACAUAAAACUGUGGUACGUAUUCCUGUGCUAAUCACAGAAUCAUUGGGGCCUCGUCCAUCCUGACUCAAAUAAGACGUAAAUGAAUGAUGUUCUGAGUGGUGCAGUGAUGAGAGCCGUGAAACUUGGAGAGAGGGCACAGAGGCCAAGCACACUCCACCCAGAACUGCAGCAAACCGCAACCAUUUUAACUGAUGGAAAAGUCAUGGGACUGAUGCCAAGCAGCCUGGCUCUGCGGAUCUGAAAGCAUAGGGGAAGGUUCACCUGGAAAAUAAGACCUCACCGAAACCUCCCCUUCCUCAUAGUUCUGCUUCUACCUCUCCUGCUCCACUCGUUCCUAUUUGCCUCCACAGCAAAACACUGCACACACAGUGCAACACAAGCAGAAGAAGGUCUUGAGACAGUGGUGACAGCAAAAGGGCAUUAAAUUAAGACUAUUGAUGCUGGUGGAAAUCAAUGCUGAAGGAGGGGCACCUCCCCUGCGUGCAUCAUGCAGCAAUUUGAAGAGAUCACAGCCAUCCCACAGUGAAUAUGUCGGGGAAUGAUGGUGGCUGCCGGGAGAGCCCUCUGCAGGAAAAGGCAGCGCUCCACUUUGCCUCUCCAGAUCCCUUGUAUUAAGGGCAAGGCAGAAAAACACUGCUGCUCCCAUUGACCCAGUCUCCAGGCUUUCUUCAAAGCUCUGUACAGCAAUGCUGAAAGCCUUUUAAGGUA
Molecule: long non-coding RNA, 826 nt
Filed under: Coturnix japonica (Japanese quail)
Lineage: Eukaryota; Metazoa; Chordata; Aves; Galliformes; Phasianidae
Description: lncRNA (ENSCJPG00005013049.1)
Source: RNAcentral